This 221-nucleotide long non-coding RNA is filed under the name Elaeis guineensis (African oil palm). RNAcentral describes it as "long non-coding RNA (EGUI_LNC027789)". The record is from RNAcentral. Lineage: Eukaryota; Viridiplantae; Streptophyta; Magnoliopsida; Arecales; Arecaceae.
GCGGUAGUGCGGAGAUUGGAGGGGAGUCGACGGUGCCAUCAUUGGGGUCAUUGUCAGGGACUGGCAAGGAAGAGAAGAAAAAAAGCUCCCUUUGUCUUUUAGGAGAUCCUUUGUUCAAAGGUUGAAGGUAACAUCAUCGGUGGGGCCCAUGAGGAGAAGAGAAUAGGACAAGCUCCCUUGGGAGCUCUUUGGUGGGGAGAUCAUAGUGCCUUCAUUAGGUC